GCGCGUAAGGCCCUGAGGUGGGAACGCUGGCUGCGGUGAGAGGCAGGGGCACAGCGGAUGCAGCUGCACGAGAGGCUGGGGGCCAGAUUGAGCACAGGGGGCCUGAAGGUUAGGCCAAGACACCUUUCGUCUUUACCCUUGCGGAAUGAACAGCUAGCCAAGGCUUUCUAUAAGGGGCGUGGCACGACCAAGGCUGCCGUUUUAAGAGUCAUUUUGCAGAUCAAUUCUUGUGUGAGGGUGGAUCAGGAGGGAAAAGAAGGGGACUGAUGUGGGAAGACCGGUUCGGAGGCUGUGGAAACUGUCCAGCUCCAGAGGUUUCAGCUGCGAAGAUGCCUUUGUUUCUGCUCUGCCCAGGCACAUCCUUCCCCUGGGGCAAUGAGCUGCUGCCAAGCAACCUAACAAGCCUGCAUUGGAGGAGAAUGGAUAUCACUGAAAUUCCUGAUAUGGAAACAAAAAUGCACUGUCUUAACCAGAGGACAUGGCUCCUGAACAAAGAAGGUUACCCUCCGCCCAUUGCCUGCCCUGGAAGAAGACAGCUAAAUCCAAGGAUCAAAUCAAUCAGAGAAAAGCAAACAGUUUUAAACUUCUAAGAGGUGUGAUAAAUAAGUGGGGGCUGAAGCAAAACUGUUUAAAAGCAGCUGAGUCCUUUAUUUUUAAACAACAGUUUCCCUGAUGACUUGAGUUCAUUUGUUAUUCAAUCACUUCCCAGUCAAUGCUAAAGGUCUGAAAGCUUUUGGCAGGUUUCAGUGGAAUAAUUUAAGUGCUCUAAUAGAAAGACCAGAAGGGCGAAUUAUACAAAUUUAUUCUGAGUCAACCAAAAAUUUCACAAAAUAAGAGAACCUGUGGUUUGAGAAGAAAGAAUGCACAUCAAUGGGCGUGUAUGCCAUUCCAUACACGGGAUGCCAUUCCAAUGGACAAAGACCUUUAGUCCAGAUGACAAAUAACUCAGGUGUGUGGCUCCACCCAGACCCUAAUUUCACAGUUUCAUACUAAUUGAGUCACAUAUUAUGACUGUGGUGGACCUGUCUCUGUGCAUUUUCCAAUUUUCAGUGAAGUUCAUUAAAAAAUUACAGAGGUUAUCCAUUUGAAAAUGUUCCUUGGUUGACACUUUCUUUGAAGAUCAUCAUAAGCAAAGUUACUAUUUGUUGCACACACACAUUAUAAGUGUUCAUACAGUGGUUUUUUUGUUUGUUUGUUUGUUUUGUUUUUUGAGACAAAGUCUUGCUCUGUCACCCAGGCUGCAGUGCUCGGCUCACUGCAACCUCUGCCUCCCAGGUUCAAGAGAUUCUCCUGCCUCAGCCUCCUGAGUAGCUGGGACUACAGGUGCCCACCACCGCGCCUGGCUAAUUUUUGUAAUUUUAGUAGAGAUGGGGGUUUCACCAUGUUGGCCAGGAUGGUCUUGAUCUCCUGACCUUGUGAUCCACCUGCCUCCGCCUCCCAAAGUGCUGGGAUUACAGGCGUGAGUCACCAUGCCCGGCCCACACAGUGUUUAAUAAAUGGGAAUCCCAGUUAAUAUUUGUUUUCCUUUUUUUUU
Pongo pygmaeus (Bornean orangutan) is the source of this 1534-nucleotide long non-coding RNA. RefSeq lists it as uncharacterized. The record is from RefSeq and is a predicted model, not a curated record. The transcript has 3 exons. Lineage: Eukaryota; Metazoa; Chordata; Mammalia; Primates; Hominidae.